UUACGGCCAUAUAGCGUUGAAACACCGGUUCCCGUACGAUCACCAAAAUUAAACAACGUCGAAACUGAUCAGUACCUAGGUGGGUGAUCGCUUGAGAAUACCAGGCUG
Acanthosepion pharaonis is the source of this 108-nucleotide non-coding RNA. The record is from the annotation of a GenBank genome assembly. Lineage: Eukaryota; Metazoa; Mollusca; Cephalopoda; Sepiida; Sepiidae.